Molecule: transfer-messenger RNA, 357 nt
Filed under: Fimbriimonas ginsengisoli
Lineage: Bacteria; Bacillati; Armatimonadota; Fimbriimonadia; Fimbriimonadales; Fimbriimonadaceae
Also listed under: 1 other name
Rfam family: transfer-messenger RNA
About the family: Bacterial tmRNA, also known as 10Sa RNA or SsrA, is named for its dual tRNA and mRNA-like properties. Its role is to liberate the mRNA from a stalled ribosome.
Source: RNAcentral
GGGGGCGAACGGGUUCGACAGGGCCGGUUCGACCUUCGGUUGCGAGCCGAGGACGUCGGUUGGCCUCGUUAAUCAUCCGGCAAAAAGCAACUGCGAACGAAAGUUACGCUUACGCGGCCUAAAACCCCGCGGGUCCGCCUCCUCCCGAGUCGGUAGGGAAGAGAAUCGGGUCUAGCCAAAUCCGAACCGUCCGUGAAGCUUCUGUUCGGAGCGACCCGGCCUAAAACAAUCGAACUGGACGCCCGCCCAGGCGGCCCCGGCAGAGGGCGGCGUCGAGAAAAAGUACAGGGGAGACGCUCGUGGUGACUGAGGGACCGACGAUCUUGGAAGCGGGUUCAAUUCCCGCCGCCUCCACCA